Molecule: non-coding RNA, 72 nt
Organism: Tripterygium wilfordii
Lineage: Eukaryota; Viridiplantae; Streptophyta; Magnoliopsida; Celastrales; Celastraceae
Source: the annotation of a RefSeq genome assembly
GCUUCCAUGGCAUAGUGGUAGUGCGUUCGCUUCGUAAGCGGAAGGUCGUGAGUUUAAUCCUCAUUCGAAGCU